UGAUUCGACUGGAAGGCAGCUAGGCA
RNAcentral lists this non-coding RNA (26 nucleotides) under Rattus norvegicus (Norway rat). Lineage: Eukaryota; Metazoa; Chordata; Mammalia; Rodentia; Muridae. The record is from RNAcentral.